Molecule: ribosomal RNA, 482 nt
Filed under: uncultured bacterium
Lineage: Bacteria
Description: bacterial SSU rRNA
Rfam family: Bacterial small subunit ribosomal RNA
Source: RNAcentral
AUUGAACGCUGGCGGCAUGCCUUACACAUGCAAGUCGAACGGCAGCACGGGAGCAAUCCUGGUGGCGAGUGGCGAACGGGUGAGUAAUAUAUCGGAACGUGCCCAGUCGUGGGGGAUAACGUAGCGAAAGCUACGCUAAUACCGCAUACGAUCUAUGGAUGAAAGCGGGGGAUCGCAAGACCUCGCGCGAUUGGAGCGGCCGAUAUCAGAUUAGGUAGUUGGUGAGGUAAAGGCUCACCAAGCCGACGAUCUGUAGCUGGUCUGAGAGGACGACCAGCCACACUGGAACUGAGACACGGUCCAGACUCCUACGGGAGGCAGCAGUGGGGAAUUUUGGACAAUGGACGCAAGUCUGAUCCAGCCAUUCCGCGUGCAGGAUGAAGGCCCUCGGGUUGUAAACUGCUUUGUACGGAACGAAAGGUUUCUCUUAAUACGAGGAGCUCAUGACGGUACCGUAAGAAUAAGCACCGGCUAACUACGUG